This 439-nucleotide ribosomal RNA is filed under the name uncultured bacterium. RNAcentral describes it as "partial 16S ribosomal RNA". It matches the Rfam family "Bacterial small subunit ribosomal RNA", at positions 339 to 795 of the family's 1533-position model. The record is from RNAcentral.
CUACGGGUGGCACCAGUGAGGAAUAUUGCGCAAUGGGGGGAACCCUGAUGCAGCAACGCCGCGUGGAGGAUGACGCAUUUCGGUGUGUAAACUCCUUUUAUAUGUCAAGAAAAUGACGGUAGCAUAUGAAUAAGCACCGGCUAACUCCGUGCCAGCAGCCGCGGUAAUACGGAGGGUGCAAGCGUUACUCGGAAUCACUGGGCGUAAAGGACGCGUAGGCGGGUUGGAAAGUCAGGUGUGAAAUCCUACAGCUUAACUGUAGAACUGCACUUGAAACUUCUAAUCUAGAGUAUGGGAGGGGGAGAUGGAAUUAGUGGUGUAGGGGUAAAAUCCGUAGAUAUCACUAGGAAUACCUAAAGCGAAGGCGAUCUCCUGGAACAUUACUGACGCUAAGGCGUGAAAGCGUGGGGAGCAAACAGGAUUAGAUACCCUUGUAGUC